GGAGAGGUAUCGAAGUGGUUAUAACGGCCCUGACUCGAAAUCAGGUAGCGCGCAAGCGCUCGUGGGUUCGAAUCCCACCCUCUCCGCCA
Molecule: transfer RNA, 89 nt
Filed under: Christensenellaceae bacterium
Lineage: Bacteria; Bacillati; Bacillota; Clostridia; Christensenellales; Christensenellaceae
Description: tRNA-Ser
Rfam family: tRNA
About the family: Transfer RNA (tRNA) molecules are approximately 80 nucleotides in length. Their secondary structure includes four short double-helical elements and three loops (D, anti-codon, and T loops). Further hydrogen bonds mediate the characteristic L-shaped molecular structure. tRNAs have two regions of fundamental functional importance: the anti-codon, which is responsible for specific mRNA codon recognition, and the 3' end, to which the tRNAs corresponding amino acid is attached (by aminoacyl-tRNA synthetases). tRNAs cope with the degeneracy of the genetic code in two manners: having more than one tRNA (with a specific anti-codon) for a particular amino acid; and 'wobble' base-pairing, i.e. permitting non-standard base-pairing at the 3rd anti-codon position.
Source: RNAcentral